RNAcentral lists this long non-coding RNA (8942 nucleotides) under Pelobates cultripes (western spadefoot toad). Lineage: Eukaryota; Metazoa; Chordata; Amphibia; Anura; Pelobatidae. The record is from RNAcentral.
GUGGGAUCAAAGCAACGCCGAAUUGUUGGUAUUGUGGUUCAGAUGUUUUUCACCCUUGGAGUCAUGAUCAUUCCUGGAAUUGCUUACUUAAUUCCUACAUGGCAGGGCAUCCAGCUGGCCAUUUCAUUGCCAAACUUCCUCUUUCUCUUCUAUUACUGGUAAAAACAACACAUUUUUACAUAGUAUAUUAAUUUUGCCAUAAUCUGUAAGGGAAAGAAAAGUCAGAGAUAGAAAUAGUAAGAGAGUAGUCAAAAUUGGUGUUUCCAGUGCUCAAUUACCUUGAGAAGUAAAUAAAGCAUUGACUCCCUUUUUACAAAACUGGCUUGGAAAAGGCAUGUUUCUUUCCAUACCUGUUUUGUGAAUGGAGAGUUACUAAUUGGCUGAGAGCUACAGCUGACCGUUCUCAGCCAAUCAAUGGCGUGCCUGCCCACGGUCAUGCCACGUUUCCGUAAACUAAAAAUUUCAGAACCCAAAUACAGCAUAGGGGUACCUGAGGAUUGGCACUGGGGGUGUCUUUUGGAUUAAACCAAGAACACUCUAACCCCUUUAGCCCGGGGGUCUCCUGGCACCAUAACAACUACAUUUAGAUUAAUUUAUUAUGGUGCCUAAAAUGUCUCUUUAAAUGAAAUGAUUAACAUAUAAGCCAUGCAUGGAUAUAUCCAGAAAAAACAACCAAACAGGAAAAAUAGAGAAAAAUAUAAAUGACCACAAAAACAUUAAUUUAGUUAUGAUUAAAGAUGAUAUGAAGAGCUUAGAUCUCACACAAUGUGUCAAAGGCUGUUAUAGAGUUGCAGGCUUUAAUAUCCAUGUGUGAACCUAGAUGAAUAAGAAGAACGUUUGACUGGUGCCCUGGAUUGUUGCCAAAAAUGCUUGUUUCUCCAGGGAAAUUCUUUUUAAGGUCCAGACCUGAACUGUGCGCUCAAGAUGUCUCUAUCCCUUCAAAGACCCUGGUGUGCACCACAUACAUUUGUAUGUUGGUUAUGAACUAGUUAUUCUGGUGACAAGAAGGGUGAGGUUAGUGACAAACAUGUGGAGACAGUGCAUAUGUUAGGAACCCAGAGUAAGGCACAGAAAUCUAAGAUACUCCAUACUUCCCUCAUCACCUUCCAAAAAAUGCAGUUAAAGUAAGUUUAAUGAAUUUAUAAACUGGACAUUUCAGACAUAAACAAACUGAAAAAACAACAACAUAUAUCCAAAUUUAAAUCCAACAAUAAGUGCAAACGCUUUGUAGAUACACCCCUAUAACGUAGUUUGCUUAGAGGUAACUACUGUUCAUAAGCUUAAAUAUAACACAAAAUAAUCAAAAUUACUGUACUGUAUUUAGAUAAAUAAUUAAAAAAAACACUAAUUUAAUGUGGAAAGCACACACUGUGAAGGCAAAAAAUUAUCUGAAAAAUUUAUUACCUAAAAUUCUUCAAUACUGUAGAUAAAACUCCUCCAAGUCCUCAAUAAAACACACAAGAAAACAAGGUAUCUAUGGUAGAAAAAUGGAACAAACACUCAUAGAGUAGUAUUGUACAAACGCUGAACAGUUUGACCAACUUCAAUGCCCCAUAAUUUUCAAUUAAAAUGUACAUUCUAUACACUAUAAUUGAAAAUUCUAUUUUUAAGGUAUUGUUUCAUUGUACAGUCUGACCUUGGAGUGAAUUUGCUGGGACGUCUACUUCUGGGAAGAUUGGCAAGUGUUUUAAAAGUUUUCCACUUUUGAAUAAUCUUUGGGCAGCAACAAUUGCUUCUCUAAGCUCUAAGAUCAUUACUGAUGACUUUCCUCCUUGACAAUGCUCCAGAUCAGCAAACUGGUAAAACUUCGGUAAAGCGGGUUACACUUGCUGAUGAUCAAUUAGUCAAGGGCAUUUGAUUAGCAGCACCUGUCUGCUCCUUAGCAUCUUAAUUCCUAUGGAAGCAAUAAGGGUGACCUUAGUUUUUCACACAUGGCUUCUCUAUUUUGACUUUAUAUUUGUUAAAUAAUGGUGUAAUAUGUAAUGUGUUGUUUAUCAUCUUGUCAUUUUAAUACCUGUUAAGGAAUAGAUGGUUGUUAUUAUUUCCUAAUAUGUAAAACCGUAGAAUUCAAAUAAGGGUGUACUUUCUUUUUCCUAUAACUGUAAGUGCUUGAAAUAGGCACUGCCUGCAGCAGGUGGAGGCAACCUUCGGCACUCCAGAUAUUGUGGACUACAUUUCUCAUGAUGCAUUAUCAGCAUUAUGACUGUAUGAGCAUUAUGAAAGAUGUAGUCCAAGAUACCUGGAGUGCCAAAAAUGUCCUACCCCUGCCCUUUAGCACAGAAACCUACUCUGCCUAAUGGGAAAUACAGCUUUGGAUUUGGAAGAAUAAAAUAUAAUUGCUGAAAUAUACAGUUAGAUGAAAGUAUGUUAGUUACUUCAUGUUUACCUUAAAGGGACACUAGGUACCCAGACCACUUAAUCGCAUUAGAGUAGUCUGGGUGCAGUGCAAUAUCAAACAAUACAGUUUCUGAGAAACUGACAUUUUUACAUUGUAGGGUUAAGCCCACAUGUGGUAGCUGUCUUCCGUACAGUCACUAGUGUUUUUCCUGGUGCCUAACAGAGUUUUACUUUGUAAAAUGGUAUUGUAUGUCCUUUGCAUGAGGACGUCUAACAUCUUAAAAUUCCUUAUUAGAAAGCAUUGAUUCAAUGCUUAUUUAUGGGGAAACCUUGGUGUGCACAAGACAAGAACAUUGUGUUCACAUUAGGUCCCACAAUUGCCUUGAUGUUGCGGGAAGAGUAGACCUAGCCAGUGCAGAGAGAGCUUUUAUGCAUGAAUUAUGGUAAGUUAAAAAGGGUUUUAAAGCUUUAACUUGACCAAUGGGGUGGGGGACCUAAUCAGUUAAUUAUAAGGACACUAUAUACACAUUUGAUUUGAUUAAGCUAGUUACUUGCUGUUGAUUGCUGGUUAAUUAGCUAUUGUUUGCAAAUAAGCAGAGGCCUACCCAGGUGUUAAUCAUUCCUAGUGGGCGGUGAUUUUAGGAGUUAUAUAAGGCCUGGUUCCAUUAGCUUGUCUAAUAUAGCUUGGUGCUACUUCCAAGUGCUGUUUCUAAGUGUGUCGUUGGAGAUAUUCUGGAGAGUUUUACAGAAGCUUCAACUGUCUAAGAGUUGUGCUAAGAGCUUUCUUUUCUACUGUUACAGGUAGGAUUCAUCUGUAGGAAAAGGUUACUGAUUGCCCAAGGUUUGAAUUCCUGUUGGUAAUUAUAAGGCAUUUGAUUUGAUUAAGCUAGUUACUUGCUGUUGAUUGCUGGUUAAUUAGCUAUUGUUUGCAAAUAAGCAGAGGCCUACCCAGGUGUUAAUCAUUCCUAGUGGGCGGUGAUUUUAGGAGUUAUAUAAGGCUUGGUUCCAUUAGCUUGUCUAAUAUAGCUUGGUGCUACUUCCAAGUGCUGUUUCUAAGUGUGUCGUUGGAGAUAUUCUGGAGAGUUUUACAGAAGCUUCAACUGUCUAAGAGUUGUGCUAAGAGCUUUCUUUUCUACUGUUACAGGUAAGAUUCAUCUGUAGGAAAAGGUUACUGAUUGCACAAGGUUUGAAUUCCUGUUGGUAAUUAUAAGGCAUUUGAUUUGAUUAAGCUAGUUACUUGCUGUUGAUUGCUGGUUAAUUAGCUAUUGUUUGCAAAUAAGCAGAGGCCUACCCAGGUGUUAAUCAUUCCUAGUGGGCGGUGAUUUUAGGAGUUAUGUAAGGCCUGCUGUUUCUAAGUGUGUCGUUGGAGAUAUUCUGGAGAUAACCUGGAGGUAAUCUGAGGUAUUCAGGAGGAUAAAUACAAAAGUUAAGAUUUGUUCGAUUUAUAUUAUUCUUAUAAUUGGAAUGGCAGGUUUAGUUCAGUGUAACAAUUGCUAUGCAUUUGUUUCACGUUCCAGUUUUUGGAGGUUUGGUUGUUGUCUAAUCUGUAGACAGUUCUCUAUCUUGCGGCAGGAGAUUGUAUUUUUGAAGUCUGAGAUUUGUAAAUUAUCUGGUGAAGAAACUCAGACUGGAACUGCUGCAAAGCCACUGCCGCAGAGACAUGCUAGGAAAGGCAGAUGGAUUACUGUAGGAUCUGGUAGACUUAGAGUUGUGGAUAAAAGGCAUUUUGCACAGUCUGUUGCUCUUCAUAAUUCAUUUUCUGCACUUUCAGAGUGUAAUGGUGUUGUGGAGAGAGGCACUGAGGCUAGUGGUGUUGUGGAGAGAGGCACUGAGACUAGUGGUGUUGUGGAGAGAGGCACUGAGACUAGUGGUGUUGUAGAGAGAGGCACUGAGGCUAGUGGUGUUGUAGAGAGAGGCACUGAGGCUAGUGGUGUUGUAGAGAGAGGCACUGAGGCUAGUGGUGUUGUAGAGAGAGGCACUGAGGCUAGUGGUGUUGUGGAGAGAGGCACUGAGGCUAGUGGUGUUGUGGAGAGAGGCACUGAGACUAGUGGUGUUGUGGAGACCGGCUUGGAGAGUAUGGUGAAGCCUAAUAGAAUAGCUUUGGUGAAGUAUGGUGAAGCCUAAUAGCAGUUGUUGUUGGGUGAUUCCAUUAUAAGAGGUGUGGAGAUGGACAAUGGUGGUCUUGUGAGGUGUCUUCCCGGAGCUACUGCUCACAGAGACAGGAGACGUAUCUGUAAUAUUGUUAAGCAAGCAAAGCAGGAAGGGGAAUUGGAUGUACUUGUCCAUCUAGGGACAAAGCGGCUUGGCCUGCAAUGAGGUUUUCAGAGGGUUAAGAGGAAGUUUUGGUAUUUUGCCAAUGAUGUCACGGCGGGUUGGCUACACUGUAUCAUUCUCUGAAAGUUCUGCUGUGCAUAACACUCCAGAGCGACAAGGAUCGCAUUAUUAGGGACUUUAAUUUGUGGCUUGGUGAAUGAUUAGCCGGGAGCAAGGAUUUGGCUUUGGCCUACUCAUGGUAGCUCUGUUUGGAAUGGGAGGAAUGGCUACUUUUAAAAGAUGGUUGCAUCUUUCUCAAGGAACAAAUGUUCUCAGUGAGGCAGUUCUGGAGAGGUUUGCUAGGAUGUGUAUUUAAGAAGCUAGGAGGGCAAAGGGGUGAUAAAACAUCAAUCCAAUUGUCCCCCAAAACAAGGACAGAAGGUGCCUGUAGCAAGUGUGUUAAAAAAUGAUAAGCUUAGAGUCAUGUCUACAAAUGCUCGCAGUUUAGGGAAUAAGAUCCAUGAACUUGUGGCAAUAAUGGCAACUGAUAGUGUAGAUUUAGUAGCUGUUACUGAGACAUGGUAUAAUGAGAAAAUGACUGGGACAUAGCAAUACCACUCUUUAUAUACGAAAGAUAGGGAAGGCAAGAAAGGAGGAGAGGUGGCCUUGUAUGUGAAGGAUAGCAUAAAAUCUAGCCUAAUAAAAGUUAGUGAGGCAAACAUAGAGUCCGUUUGGGCUACGUUAGAAUUUGGUAAUCACACAGUAAUUCGUGUAGGUGUGAUUUAUAGGCCCCCAGGACAAAUUGAAGAGUUAGAUAAUCUACUAGUUGAGGAAAUAGCUAAAAUGACAAUGAAGGGGGAAGUUAUCAUCAUGGGUGACUUUAAUCUUCCUGAUGUAAAUUGGAAAACAAAAAUUAGCUACUUGUGCCAGGAGCACACAUAUUCUAAACUCCCUACUGGGAUUGUCUCUAAAACAAGUUGUUGAGGAGCCAACUCGUAAAGAGACCAUACUAGAUUUAGUGUUAACAAAUGGAGAUUUGGUAUCAGAUAUUACUGUAGGUGAAUUUAGGAUCCAGUGAUCAUCAGUCAGUGUGGUUUAAUAUAAGAACAGUGACUGAGUCACACACAAAAACAAAAGUUUUUAGACUUUUAGAAAAACAGACUUUUCUAAAAUUAGAAUAUGGGUAGAGGAGUCAUUAUCAGACUGGAGCAAUUUAAAUGGAGUCCAAGAAAAAUGGGAUUAUUUAAAGUUGCACUAUUGAAGGCAACAGAAAAUUGCAUUAGGCUUGUCAGUAAAAGCAAAAAAUUCAAGAAACCACUGUGGUACUCCGCAGAUGUGGCCAAAAUAGUUAAAAACAAAAAGUUAGCAUUUAGGAAUUAUAAAAAAACCCAGAGUGAGGGAGACAAAAUGAUCUAUAAGAUUAGGCAGAAAGAGGCUAAGCAAGUUAUAAGAGCUUCCAAAUCACACACAGAAGAGAAAAUAGCACAGUCAGUAAAAAAGGGGGAUAAAACAUUUUUUAGAUACAUAAAUGAAAAAAGAAAAGUAAAACAAGGAUUAGUUAGAUUAAAAACAAAAGAAGGAAGGUAUGUAGAAGAGGAUAAAGGUCAGGCUGACUGCCUCAAUGAAUAUUUUUGUUCUGUAUUUACAGUAGAAAAUGAAGGAAAGGGACCUCAGUUGAGAAAAAGGAUAAAUGAGUCAUUUAUUACACGUGAGUUUGCAGAGGAAGAGGUUCUAUUUCAACUGUCAAAAGUAAAGACAAAUAAGUCAAUGGGACCUGAUGGAAUACACCCAAAGCUAUUAAAAGAGCUUAGUGGUGUACUAGCAAAACCAUUAACAGAUUUAUUUAACCAAUCAUUGUUAACAGGAGUAGUCCCAGAAGAUUGGAAGUUAGCGAAUCUUGUGCCCAUUUACAAGAAAGGUAAUAGGGAGGAGUCGGGCAACUAUAGGCCAGUAAGCCUUACUUCAGUAGUGGGGAAAGUGAUGGAAACCAUGUUAAAGGAUAGGAUUGUUGAACAUCUAAAAACACAUAGAUUUCAAGAUCAGAAACAACAUGGGUUUACUUCAGGGAGAUCAUGCCAAACUAAUCUUAUUGAUUUUUUUGAUUGGGUAACUAAAAUUAUAGAUCAGGGUGGUACAGUAGACAUUGCUUACCUAGAUUUCAGUAAGGCUUUUGACACUGUUGCACAUAGAAGGCUUAUCAAUAAACUGCAAUCUUUAAGUUUGGAUUCAAAUAUUGUUGAAUAGGUAAGGCAGUGGCUGAGUGACAGGCAACAGAGGGUUGUAGUUAAUGGAAUAUAUUCGAAGCUUAGACUUGUCACCAGUGGGGUACCUCAGGGAUCUGUACUUGGACCCAUUCUCUUUAAUAUUUUUAUUAGUGAUAUUGCAGAAGGUCUUGAUGGUAAGGUAUGUCUUUUUGCUGAUGAUACUAAGAUAUGUAACAGGGUUGAUGUUCCAGGAGGGAUAAGCCAAAUGACAAAUGAUUUAGGUAAACUAGAAAAAUGGUCAGAAUUGUGGCAACUGACAUUUAAUGUGGAUAAGUGCAAGAUAAUGCAUCUUGGGCGUAAAAACCCAAGGGCAGAGUACAGAAUAUUUGAUAGAGUCCUAACCUCAACAUAUGAGGAAAGGGAUUUAGGGGUGAUUAUUUCUGAUGACUUAAAGGUAGGCAGACAAUGUAAUAGAGCAGCAGGAAAUGCUAGCAGAAUGCUUGGUUGUAUAGGGAGAGGUAUUAGCAGUAGAAAGAGGGAAGUGCUCAUGCCAUUAUACAGAACACUGGUGAGACCUCACUUGGAGUAUUGUACACAGUACUGGAGACCGUAUCUUCAGAAGGAUAUUGAUACCUUAGAGAGGGUUCAGAGAAAGGGCUACUAAACUGGUUCAUGGAUUGCGGGAUAAAACUUACCAGGAAAGGUUAAAGGAUCUUAACAUGUAUAGCUUGGAGGAAAGACGAGACAGGGGGAUAUGAUAGAAACAUUUAAAUAUAUAAAGGGAAUCAACACAGUAAAGGAGGAGACUAUAUUUAAAAGAAGAAAAACUACCACAACAAGAGGACAUAGUCUUAAAUUAGAGGGACAAAGGUUUAAAAAUAAUAUCAGGAAGUAUUACUUUACUGAGAGGGUAGUGGAUGCAUGGAAUAGCCUUCCAGCUGAAGUGGUAGAGGUUAACACAGUAAAGGAGUUUAAGCAUGCGUGGGAUAGGCAUAAGGCUAUCCUAACUAUAAGAUAAGGCCAGGGACUAAUGAAAGUAUUUAGAAAAUUGGGCAGACUAGAUGGGCCGAAUGGUUCUUAUCUGCCGUCACAUUCUAUGUUUCUAUGUUUCUAUGUUUCUAUAGCGUUAGGAAUACAGGUACAGUAUUUCUCUAAACAUAUAUGCAUAGCUGAAUUUGGCAGACUCGUCAGAAUUGAAUGACUAACAAAUGCAAAGCACUUGUCUUCUUAUUUUUGGCGCUAAUAUGCAAUGCCAACUUGAUGAAGUAUGUUCUAAUCUGCACAGUAGUUUAACUUCGACAGAAAUAUAGCUAUAAUGGGAAUAAUACCAGGGUACUGGAUACCACCAUUUACCAUAUGUUAUACCAUUGUUAAAUCUUUUGCAACAUCACACAUGAUGCUGACUAUGCAUUUUUUAAAGUAAAACUAGUGUUAUUUCCAAAGGCUCUAUUGGUGGCUUCUCACAUACUGCACCCUCCCAAUACUGGAGUCCAUCCCAGCCAUUCCCUAGGAUAAUUGUGGGGUAGUAAACUGUGUUCUUUAUACAAGGAUACUAGAGCUACCUUGAUUUCAUCCUUGGAGCAUGCAAGGAUGUCAAGAGGCAGGUUUUUUGUGACUUCGCUGCUCCCACAGCUUUCUUUUCAGAAAAACACUUAGCAGGCAUCUAGGAGUUGCUAGGACUGUCGCUGCUCCCACAGUUUACUUUCAGAAAAAUACUGAGCAGGCAUUUAGGAGAUGCCUGCUCAGUGUUAUUCUGAAAGUAAGCUGCGGGAGCAGUGAGGUGGCAAAAGAACUGCUCCUUGACAUCCUUGCAAGUAAGCUGUGGGAGCAGCGAGGUGGCAAAAGACCUGCUCCUUGACAUCCUUGCAUGCUCCAAGGAUGAAAUCAAGGUAGCUGCUUCUGUUUUGGAUUAUGAUUCCCAAUUAGCUGAUGAUUUUAAAAGGCUCAAUCCAGGGACAGAUUCAGAAUUCAGUCUUAUUAUUCUCUUUCUGAAACAAUACAAUUUUUGUUACAUGUAUAGAUUAUCGCUCACAAAGAUAACUAUUAUUUAUUGUCCCAUUUUUCUUGACAGGCUGAUCCCUGAAUCUCCACGUUGGCUGUUAAUACGCAAAGAAAAAGAAAAAGCAAUAAAAAUCAUGAAUGACAUAG